UGGGAGAGGGUACAGAGAAGGUGGCUGCCUUGGAUGCUGUGAGUUUCUGUUUCCUUCCUCAUUAGUGUCUUUCUUACUGAGAAAAUCUCUUUACCUUGAAGUAACUUGACUGAAUCUUUGACUGGUUCCCUUUUGCCAAGUGAACCCAAGAAAGAAAAGGAAAGAAAGGACAAGGAACCCAGCAUCCACUGAGGACCUGCUGUGUGGCAGGACAGUGCUGGGAGCCCCGCACACAUGCAGUCCUUGAGGACUGAUUGAGCAGCUCCGGGUGAUGGGGGCACAGGUACCAUGUUGUUCAGCAGAGCUCUAGAACUUACUCAUCUCACAUAACCAAAUUUUAUACCCAUUGAGCAAGAUUUCUCCAGGUCCCUUUCGCCCAGCUCCUGGAAACUGCCAUUCUAUUCUCUGCUUCUAUGAGUCUGACUAUUUUGAUACCCCAGGCUCAAGUCUUCAAGGACUAGGCUAGAGGCUGACCUGAGUGACCAGCACCAAGUGGUCCUCCAAGCUGUCCUUCCUCCUGGACGUCCCCGGAGAGGCUCUCAACGCUCUCGGACCAAGACCUCUUGCCUUUCUCUUGGGAUGAACUAUUUCUCAUUCUUAGUCUCUCACACCAGUGGACUCCUGGGAUCCCAGCCCAUAAGAUGUGCCUGAAUCUCCCCUCUGCAAACACCCCACUGUGCACAAGUGUUGUUAUCCUCAUGUUGUGAGUGGGGAAACUGAGGCCCUGAAUGUCGGAUGACUUGCUCGAGGUCACUAAGAGUCUCCAGAUCCCUAACACUGAGUCAGCCCUAUGCUCACCACACAACAUUGUGUUACACACCACCUCACUGUUGUGGCCAAAAGUUAUGCUUUGAGAUCAUCAUCUUGCUCUGUCCAGGGACCCGCAGGCUGUUCUGAGGUUGGACUAUGGUGGUUCCCAUGCAGGCCCAGCAUCAGAAUUGCCUGUGAAACAUUGAGAAGCUCAGGUGCCAGAGCCCAAGCCCAGGGAGUUCUGGCUCACUAAAUCCAGGUGGGCCCAGGUGCACAGGUAUCUGUAGAGUCAAUUCUCAUUCUCACGGUAGUCAUGUUUUAUAAAGUUUCUGUGAACACUGAAUUAGCAGAUACUGAACCUUUGCUCCCAGGGGAAACAGGGUUAGAUUCCUGUGUCUCUGGUUACAACCAAUACAUAGCCUUGUUUCA
Long non-coding RNA from Callithrix jacchus (white-tufted-ear marmoset), 1179 nucleotides. RefSeq lists it as uncharacterized. NCBI's taxonomy places the organism in Eukaryota, Metazoa, Chordata, Mammalia, Primates, Cebidae. The record is from RefSeq and is a predicted model, not a curated record.